AACGAACGCUGGCGGCAGGCCUAACACAUGCAAGUCGAACGAUAUAGUGGCAGACGGGUGAGUAACGCGUGGGAACGUACCUUUCACUACGGAAUAGCUCUGGGAAACUGGUGGUAAUACCGUAUACGCCCUUAGGGGGAAAGAUUUAUCGGUGAAAGAUCGGCCCGCGUUGGAUUAGCUAGUUGGUGAGGUAAUGGCUCACAAAGGCGACGAUCCAUAGCUGGUCUGAGAGGAUGAUCAGCCACACUGGGACUGAGACACGGCCCAGACUCCUACGGGAGGCAGCAGUGGGGAAUCUUGCACAAUGGGGGCAACCCUGAUCCAGCCAUGCCGCGUGAGUGAAGAAGGCCUUCGGUUGUAAAGCUCUUUCGGACGGAAAGAAAUACGCCGCCUCUAACAUAGGCGGUGGAUGACGGUACCGUAAGAAGAAGACACCGGCUAACUACGUG
RNAcentral lists this ribosomal RNA (449 nucleotides) under uncultured bacterium. RNAcentral's name for it is "bacterial SSU rRNA". It matches the Rfam family "Bacterial small subunit ribosomal RNA", at positions 29 to 507 of the family's 1533-position model. The record is from RNAcentral.